RNAcentral lists this long non-coding RNA (3184 nucleotides) under Marmota monax (woodchuck). The record is from RNAcentral. Lineage: Eukaryota; Metazoa; Chordata; Mammalia; Rodentia; Sciuridae.
GAUUAAUAUCAUUUUUAUUUGAACCAGACCUUGAAAUAGGCUUUGGAAUACAGAGCCAGGAGAAGCUGCAUUUAACAGGAAGGGAAGGAUGUGGAGAGCGUCAAGAAAGACAAGGAGACCUGAAAGCGGAAAAGCAAAUCCGUUCCCAUUGACUGGAGACCAAGCGUCUUAAGAAGAAUUGUGCAGUAAAGAAGAGUAUUAACACUUUCUGAAUUUUUCCAAGGUGCUAAAACUCUGCACACAUUAAUUCAUUUAAUAUUCACAACAACCCCGAAAAGAAAGUGUAACUUCCUUCAUUUCACACAUGAAGAAUCUGAUGCACUGAGCCUUGAGCAGCACGGCCAAGCUUGUAAGGGGGAGAGAGGAUGCUAACUCAGUCGUCUGAUUCUGAAGCUCAUGCCCUUCACUCGCUCCACACCUGUGCCUCCCCAACAGCCACUGUUCAGUUUGGACAGCACCUCUCCUGAGCUUUCCCUUGGCUCCCACAAGCACAUAGUUUUGCUGUUUCUGAGGACAUUCAAGAGCCUGAUCUUCAGCUAGGAAAGCAACACCCAAAAUGCUCUGCGCUGAAAUACAUAUUGCCAGAUGCCUCCUGAAGGUGACUACCCGUGCAGUUCAACAUUCAUUUAAAAGUGUAAGAUCUCUGGAUGGUCUUGAAGCAUCAGUCACAUUUCUUGUAUUCACACCUCUGUGCUACCUUGGAGUAGUAGCAAAUUAAGCCGGAAUUAGCUUUUCACGCUGAAUGAUUUUAUAAAGUUUGCUUCAAACUCCUGCAGCUUGACUACUUUAAGUGCCAAAAAAAACAGCCAAUAUGGUGGAAACGGCAUUUAAAGCAGGUACAUAAAUUUACUCCAAGAUCCUGGACUGUGUGCUUCCACAAUUCCUUUUUUUUUAAAUCGCUUCUUCUAGCUCUCAGUCAAAUAAAAAGAAGACAGUUGGAACAAGAAUUUUAAAAAUGUUACUUCUGUCCAAAAAGAACCAUUAGUGACAAAUGUGUCUUUUAUAUCAAGGAGUAAAUUCAGCCAGGGAAACAAACAAACAAACCAGCAUGUCUUUGAGAAUGGGAAUUGACAUUUGAGAGAGAAUUGACAUUUGGUAAGUUUAAAAAUAGUUACUCCAGUAGAUAGAGCAUCUGCCCACUAAAAAUAUGAACCAACACACAGGCUCGCUGCAGUGUGGGGCUCGGACCAGGUUAUUGGGCUAUUCAAUAAUGCCCUAUUUUUAGGGCAGUGGAGCCAGGAAAAAAAAACACCCUGGCUUCAGUGGCUCAAUUAAACAUGUAAUUCAAGGGCAUAUAGAGCACAUCUCUGAAAUAUCUAGAAAUAAGAACUUGGAAUUCAGAACACACUUUUCUGCUGUGGUUACAGGAAGGGAGACCGAGGUGAUCACUGAGUCUAUUCUUGUGAUGGUGGAGAUAUUGAUUGUCAGGACUGGGAGAACCUUAGAGAUGACCUUGUACUGGACAUUUGAUGUUUAUGGGCUGCCCAGAAUCUGAACCUGCCUUUGGAGUAUAGCUGGGAGGCAGAGCCUACUUCCUUCUCUAGAAAGCUGUUUUCCCAGUUCUCCUGGCGGUGAGGGCUCUAAUAAAUGACCCAGCUCAGAAUGUCAGCUGCACCUGCUCAGGUUUUUGAGUCAGGAGUUAAUGACGCAAAGAAGGAGGGAGAGCAGAGAAUUCUUUCCGAGGAUAGAGGCAAAGGCAGUAACAUCCGGCUCCCCAGGGCAAUGUGGCUGAUGGUGCCAACAGGAGUGUCUGGUGCCCAUUCCUAGCACAAGUGCAAGCUGUGACACUCAGUGUGCAAUGGCAUAGUGGCCAGGGUGGCCCUGCUGGAAUCUGGAUCCUGGUGGGGUCUCUGGUCCUGGUUUACCUGUGCAGGUUUCCUUGUUCCUGCUUGAUAUCUCUGGACCUUCAGGCUUCUUGGAAACCCAGUGAGCUGGCCAAUCCCCUUUCAAUCCAUCCAUUUUCUGCUUCAGUUACCCAGAGGCAAUAUUUAUGCUUUGCAACAAAGAACCCUGGCUGCUAUAAUAAUCCAACCCUGUUAUUUUACAGAUUGAAUUAAUAAUAGUAGGUAAAGAACACACAGCUCAUUAGCAUCAAACCUCGACCUAGAAAGCAAGUCUUAUGAGUCUCAAUUUAGUGUGUACAUCUUCAUGUGGUUCAGGCUGACAGGAUGGAUGCUUCCUGUGGACAUGCCCUCCUUGUUCUGUCCUGCCCAGAGGUCACCACUGUCAUUAUCUACCAGCCAAAUUGUCUAUAUCCUUAUGGUCAUAUAUAUCUAAAAAGAACAAAUUUUAAAAAUUGUCUCUAUUUUUCUGAGUCAUUUCAAAAGCCAUUCCACUGGGCCCUAUCUGAUAGGCCCUGUCAUUGUAACCUAUCUGGCUACAAAGUAUCUUUAGUUUUCCCUCUUUAAAAAAAAAAAAAAAUGUUAUCAAGUGCCUACUAUGUGUCUAGCUCUACUUAGGGAUUCUAUAGCAAGGAAAACAGAAAUGGAUUCAGGCAUCAUGAGUAUUACCAUAAAGAAGAAAAGACAGAUAUUAAUCUAAUAAACAUAAAAUUAUAAACUGAAAACAACUAAGAAAGGAGAAUAUAGACAGUUAUGACAGCAUCCUAUGGGGCCUUUUCUAAGUUAAGAAAGAAUCUCUGAAAGUUUCUCAAAAGGCUAGGCAUGGAAUCACCAAAUGAUCCUUCUAUACUACCCCUUGGUGUUUAUCAUAAAGAAUUAAAGUCAUCAUACUAUGGUGAUACAUGCAUACCCACAUUUGUGGCAGCACCAAUUCACAAUAACCAAACCAUGGGUACAGCCUCUGUGUCCAUCAAUGAAUGAAUGGAUAAAGAAAAUGUGGCAUAUAUACACAUGGAGUUUAUUUAGCCAAAAAUAAAAAUGAAAUAAUGUCAUUUGCAGGAAAAUGAAUGGAACUAGAGACCAUGUAAGUGAAAUAAGUCAAACUCAGAAGAUUAAAGGUUAUAUGUUUUCUCUCCUAUGCAGAAGCUAGACAAGAAGAAGGAAAAGAAAGUUAGGGGGAGACCUCAUGAAAAUCAAGGGGAGAUCAGUAAAGGAAAGGGACCAAUCACUGAGAGUUGGGGAGGGAAAGGGGAAGUGCUGAGGAGUGAUAUUAGCCAAAUCAUAUUGUUAUGUUGUACGCAUAUAUGAAUAUGUAACAACAAAUCCCAUCAUUAUGUACUAUA